UACGGGGGGAGCAAGCGUUGUUCGGAUUUACUGGGCGUAAAGGGCGCGUAGGCGGUAGCACAAGUCACUUGUGAAAUCUCCGGGCUUAACCCGGAGCGGCCAAGUGAUACUGUCGUGCUAGAGUGCGGAAGGGGCUACUGGAAUUCUCGGUGUAGCGGUGAAAUGCGUAGAUAUCGAGAGGAACACCUGCGGCGAAGGCGGGUAGCUGGGCCGACACUGACGCUGAGGCGCGAAAGCCAGGGGAGCGAACGGG
This 253-nucleotide ribosomal RNA is filed under the name uncultured bacterium. Its description in RNAcentral is "partial 16S ribosomal RNA". It matches the Rfam family "Bacterial small subunit ribosomal RNA", at positions 524 to 776 of the family's 1533-position model. The record is from RNAcentral.